AUGAGCCUGCUCUCCCAAUUAAGGUGCCAGCUACCGCCUGUGAUUGGCUACCAUCGCUCCUACCAGUGCAGUGAACUCCCCCAGUUUAUCCCGGCCCAGCCCCAGUUUAUCCCCAGCCCAGCCCCAGUUCAUCCCCGGCCCAGCCCCGGUUCAUCCCGGCCCAGCCCGGUUUAUCCCGGCCCAGCCCGGUUCAUCCCGGCCCAGCCCGGUUCAUCCCGGCCCAGCCCCGGUUUAUCCCCGGCCCAGCCCGGUUCAUCCCGGCCCAGCCCCGGUUCAUCCCGGCCCAGCCCGGUUCAUCCCGGCCCAGCCCGGUUCAUCCCGGCCCAGCCCCGGUUCAUCCCGGCCCAGCCCCGGUUCAUCCCGGCCCAGCCCCAGUUUAUCCCCGGCCCAGCCCCAGUUCUGUUGCUGACUGUUCUGUUGCUGACUGUCUGCUUCUGUGCCUGUGAUCCCUCUGCAGGUUCUGUUGCUGACUGUCUGCUUCUGUGCCUGUUCCCUCUGCAGGUUCUGUUGCUGACUGUCUGCUCCUGUGCCUGUCCCUCUGCAGGUUCUGUUGCUGACUGUCUGCUUCUGUGUCUGUUCCCUCUGCAGGUUCUGUUGCUGACUGUUCUGUUGCUGACUGUCUGCUUCUGUGCCUGUCCCUCUGCAGGUUCUGUUGCUGACUGUCUGCUUCUGUGCCUGUCCCCUCUGCAGGUUCUGCAUUUCUUCUGUGAUACGUGCUCCGUGCCUGUCUUUAGGGAGGCCAGUGUGGGUUGUCACUCGGGCCACAGCCUCCUCUACCUCCAGGAUUCCCUGCAGGACUCCAGGACCCUCACCAUCCAGCUGCUGGCAGACGCCCAGCGGGGCAGGCACGCUGUACAGCUGAGCAUUGAGAAAGCACAGGCCGUUGCUGAGCAGGUGGAACUGAAGGCCAUGGUGGUCCAGUCAGAGGUCAAAGCCAUCACACAGCGUCAUAAGAAGGCCCUAGAGGAACGAGAGUGUGAACUACUGUGGAAAGUUGAGAAUAUCCGUCAGGUGAAAGCCAAGUCCCUCUAUCUCCAGUUAGAGAAGCUGCACCAGAACCUGACCAAGCUGGACAGCACCAUCUCUACAGUAACCCAGGUCCUAGAGAAGGGCAGUAGUCUGGACCUGCUGCUGGCCAGAGAGAGCAUGCUCCUCCAGAUCACAGAGCUUAAGGCCCUCAGGGAGCUGUUACUGCCGCAGGAUGAUGAUCGCAUCCUGUUCACCACCCCCGACCAGACCUUGCUCCUCGCCAUCCAGUCCCUAGGUCUGGUCAGCUCCGGGGCCUUCGCCCCCCUCACCAAGGCCCAGGGAGAGGGGCUUUGUCGGGGCUUGCAGGGUAAGCAGGCUUCCUUCACUGUGGUGGGGUAUGAUCAUGAUGGAGAGCUCAGGCUGUCUGGUGGGGACGGUGUGUCAGCUGUGGUGGUGGCGUCCGAUGGUAACCUGCUAAAUGCUGAGGUGACCGACCAUCAGAACGGGUUGUACACGGUCAGCUACCUGCCCAAGGUAGAAGGAGAACAUCUGGUGUCAGUCCUUAUCUGCAACCAGCAUAUCGAAGGCAGCCCCUUUAAAGUGCUGGUCAAGUCUGGCCGUAGCUAUGGAGGUAUACCCUUGCCGGUGGCCUCGUUCGGCAGGGAGGGGGACGGAGAUGGGCAGCUGUGUCGCCCCUGGGGGGGUGUGUGUGGACAAAGAGGGCUACAUAAUCGUAGCUGACCGAAGCAACAACAGGGUGCAGAUCUUCAAGCCGUGCGGUUCCUUCCACCACAAGUUUGGUACGCUGGGCUCCAGACCAGGCCAGUUGGACCGACCAGCUGGGGUGGCCUGCGACAGCCAGAGGAGAAUCAUCGUUGCCGACAAGGAUAAUCACCGCAUCCAGAUCUUCACCUUUGAAGGCCGGUUCCUCCUCAAGUUCGGGGAGAAGGGAACCAAGACCGGUCAGUUCAGCUACCCCUGGGACGUGGCGGUCAGCUCGGAGGGAAAGAUCCUCGUCUCAGACACCCGGAACCACCGCAUCCAGCUCUUCAGGCAGGACGGCACCUUCCUCAACAAGUACGGCUUUGAGGGGGCUCUAUGGAAACACUUGGACUCCCCCAGAGGCGUGGCCUUCACUCAGGAGGACCACCUGGUGGUGACAGACUUCAACAACCACCGUCUGUUGAUCAUCCGGUCGGACUGCCAGUCGGCCCGCUUCCUGGGAUCAGAGGGAAGCGGUAACGGUCAGUUCCUGCGGCCGCAGGGCGUAGCAGUGGACCAGGAGGACCGCAUUGUGGUGGCUGACUCCCGGAACCACCGGAUCCAGGUGUUUCAAACCAACGGUAAUUUCUUAUGCAAGUUGGGGACUCAGGGUAGCAGCUUUGGACAGAUGGAUCGCCCAUCGGGUAUAGCUGUUACUCCUGACGGAAGGAUUGUUGCCGUGGACUUUGGAAACAACCGAAUCAUUAUGUUCUAGGCUAGGCAGUUUGUCUGCUGGUUUGCAAAGAAAGAAACAUUGAAGAGGAGAUUUUGAGACACACCCAGCAGAUGCAAAUGUCUUUGUGAGCAAAUGGAGACGGUAAUAUUGAAACUUGACCUUUUCUCUCAGCUUUACCUCUAUUUUGAAAGAGCAAAUCAAUGGAGAACAUGAACCGCUGCCAACAAGGGGUUAUUGUCAUAAGCUGACAUUUUGAACCCUAUAGAAGGCCUUCUGUGACAGUAUCUGGCUCGACAGUUGUUUUUGCUCCUGAUGUGUGCGUCAAAAUCUCUGAUUUUCUCAGGGAAUUUCUUGCAUUCUUGAAAUACUUCCACUGCAUCAUACCUACCUCAUGUAGCUGUGUAUGAAUGUACUCCUUUAUUAUUUGAUGGAGAUUUUGCUAGUGGAGUUUUGAUAAAGUAACUACCUCAAUGCAAGAGAAAAGUAUAGUUAACAUGAAGCAACAUUUGGUUGAUAUUUGCACAGAAAGCACUCACACAUUUUCUCUAAUUGUUACUGUUGACAUAAAGCGUGUGAAAUCCCAGAAUGUUGCUGAGAACAAUGUAUUUCCUGUGUUACAUACAUGUGGAAACGUGGAGUCAGACAUUUUUUAUAAACUCAGCAACUGUUAUUUUUCCAUUUUGUUUUUAAAUAUGCCUUCAUACCUCUGUAAAACCUUUUUUACCUCAUGUCACAACCACAUAGUACCUCAGAACUCCAGUGUCCUCAGGUCAAUAGUAUGCUGAGUCCCAAAUGGCACCCUAUUCCCUAAAUAGUGCACUACUUUUGACCAGGGCCCAUAGGGCACUGGUGCACUAAAUAGCGAAUAGGUUGUAAUCUGAGACUCGUCCUGUAAAAUGGAUUCUCUCCACAAAAUGGCUGCUGCCAGUUUGCUAUAGGCAGGUUGAAUAUUUGAUAUCAGUGACCAUUGUCAGUUCAGUCAGUUGUGUGAUUUCAGGGAAAAAACAUUUAACAAGGAAUUGACCAUCUUGAAUUGGGUGAAUCAUCAGAAUUGUUAUUUUCUGGGCAUCUAUGAAGAAUUGUGACUUGAAACUACUGGCAAUCAUCAUUGUUGUUAGAUGAAUGAAUACAUGUCAGGAUUAAUAUAUCCUAAGGCAACUAGUGCAUUCGGCCACAACAUAGUGAAGAUUAGACAAUGACACAUUGGUGUGGGUUAACUUGGAUUUAAUCUCAACCAUGUCUGAACCUGAGUCUAAAUCUAUUUACUGAUAUCCAUUUAGAAAUCAUUGAAAUCUGUGUAGACUAACUUUCCUAAGAGUAGAGGGGUCUAAGAGUAGUGAAGUUUCAUUCUGAUAUUUUUUGAAGAACAACCUUUGUGCACAUGUUUGGUGGUUUAGAUUGGCACCCUAAUGACGCUACCAUGUUCCUUUCUUUGUGAUCGUUGUUUGAAAAGUCUAUCGUUGCCUCUGGGCCUCGACUAUGUUCCCGUCAAAGAAAGUCAUCCGUUUAGCUUUUUUUCCUUCAAAAUAGAAUGCGUCAAUCAUGGGAAACCGCGAGAAUAUUGUUUUAUCCUGGUGGCAAAUAAAAUAAUUUAAAAAAGUAAAACUGACCAGUAAAUGAAGUAACAGCAUUGAUGUUGAUCUUCAUUGCCUCCAUAGUGUUUUCAAUAGAUAUUCUCCGUAGUAAAACCCCUAGCUGCUUGUCAGUUGCCUGAUUACCCACUCAUGUAGCCUACAGGUGGCUGAGUAACCAAAGCAAAAGGCUCCACAUAAAUAGAAUUCCAUCAGCUGCUGCUCCCACACCCACAUUCACCCUGCUCUGAACUGUGAUGGCAGGGAGUCUGUUGGUCACAUUAGACGUUGGAAUAUCAGUCAGCACAGCAGUUCCUCUCUAUUGUAUGUACCUCUGUCUGAGAGAACAUAACCAAACCAGGUCAUUCAUGGUUCCACAGUGGCUAUUAACUACAGAACAUCAAGAACCAGUAAAAAUGCAAAUGUUAAAAUUGAAUUCAUUUUUUUUUCACCAGCUGUAGCCUGCCCUGUGUUAUAAACUAGCUGUUCAUAGCUAUUAAUAUUGUGCUUAUAGCUUGAACUGUUAAAGCCAAGUCCCACUCUCCUCCCUCUGUGUCUCUGACUGUGUCUAAUGGGCCAGUAUUUCCUGUCUGUUGAGCCACAUUGCCGCAAGUGCUGGUUUACGAGGAGAGCUCGGUUCUUUUCCAAAUGGCACACUAAUCCCUAUACAGUGCACUAAUUUUGACCAGAGCUUUAUGAGCCCUGGUCAAUAGUAGUGCACUAAAUAGGGACUAGGUUGCCAUUUGGCACACCUCUGUGAGUUGGUGAGGCACCAUAGCUGUAGGUCUCCAGCUGCUCUAACCCCCAGAAGAGCUGGAAGGCAUGCAGCUCGCCAGACACACCUCAUAUCUCUUUUACCUUAAUAAUCACAGCUGAAUGUACAGGGGGACCAGUGAGACGUUGGGCUCCAGACACGGCUUACUCGGUUACAUCCUCUUAAUGAUUCAACCAAAAUGGCCACUUUUUAGAUGUUGAGUUUCCAGGUGUUUUAGUGGAUUAUUCACAUUGACACUGUUCCAGUGUUGUAGCUUGUGCCUUUUGAUAUACAGAAGAUAAAUUACACUGUUUCUGGGCAAUUUGUGACCAGCAGGAAAGGCAUUGUGACAAAAACAAACAGUAUAAAUGGACUAUUUGAGGUAAUAAAUAUAACUCUUAUAAAAAUGGCACACCAUCACUGUCAUUUAGUUGUUAAGUAUUUAAUGUUGUCCUUGCUGGUGUGACCCCUGGAAUAUAAAAAAAAUAAUAAUGAUAUAUAUCUAACCAGGCAAGUCAGUUAAGAACAAAUUCUUAUUGACAAUGACAACUCACUGUUCCCCGGUAGGCCAACUGCCUUGUCCAGGGGCAGAAUGACAGAUUUUUACCUUGUCAGCUCAGGGAUUCGAUCCAGCAACCUUUUGGUUACUGAUCCAAUGCUCUAACCACUAGGCAACCUGCCACCCCAUAUAUACCUCAUUAUACAGAAAGAUAUAGGUAUAAUGUACAUCUUUACCUCAGUAUUACUGAGCUACGCCCAUUACCUCAUUGCUGAACCGUUAAUACCUCGUUGGCAUGGUUGCAUUUUUCAAACCUCAGUUGAAUUGCAGUUAGAUGUGUGGUCUUAUAAUGUACUGUUGUUACACUAAAGAAUGGAAAGGGAAGGCUUGGAGAAGUUAUGAACAGUUUGAUCAAGUAGAUUAAACCGAGGACAAUGCUGCUUCAAAUCCACACUGAUCUGAUGUAUUUUCAGUACAUUGUUGGUUCCUAUAUUGUUCCUAUAGUUUGAACUUAAGUUUGCAGUGAAUGUUUCUUAAAAGACCUCAAGGUCUUGACACUUAGAAGA
RNA transcript from Oncorhynchus gorbuscha (pink salmon), 5797 nucleotides. It is a transcript of the gene named E3 ubiquitin-protein ligase TRIM71-like, with no coding region annotated. The transcript is spliced from 11 exons. The record is from RefSeq and is a predicted model, not a curated record. NCBI's taxonomy places the organism in Eukaryota, Metazoa, Chordata, Actinopteri, Salmoniformes, Salmonidae.